UAAACGACUCUCGGCAACGGAUAUCUCGGCUCUCGCAUCGAUGAAGAACGUAGCGAAAUGCGAUACUUGGUGUGAAUUGCAGAAUCCCGUGAACCAUCGAGUUUUUGAACGCAAGUUGCGCCCGAANCCAUUAGGUUGAGGGCACGUCUGCCUGGGCGUCUCAC
RNAcentral lists this ribosomal RNA (164 nucleotides) under Styrax grandiflorus. RNAcentral describes it as "5.8S ribosomal RNA". It matches the Rfam family "5.8S ribosomal RNA". From Rfam's summary of the family: 5.8S ribosomal RNA (5.8S rRNA) is a component of the large subunit of the eukaryotic ribosome. Lineage: Eukaryota; Viridiplantae; Streptophyta; Magnoliopsida; Ericales; Styracaceae. The record is from RNAcentral.